GUAGGUGGCAAGCGUUGUCCGGAAUUAUUGGGCGUAAAGCGCGCGCAGGUGGUUCUUUAAGUCUGAUGUGAAAGCCCCCGGCUCAACCGGGAGGGUCAUUGGAAACUGGGGAACUUGAGUGCAGGAGAGGAAAGUGGAAUUCCACGUGUAGCGGUGAAAUGCGUAGAUAUGUGGAGGAACACCAGUGGCGAAGGCGACUUUCUGGCCUGUAACUGACACUGAGGCGCGAAAGCGUGGGGAGCAAACAGGGAUUAGAUACCCUGGUAGUCCACGCCGUAAACGAUGAGUGCUAAGUGUUGGGGGGGUUUCCCGCCCCGUCAGUGCUGCAGCUAACGCAUUAAGCACUCCGCCUGGGGAGUACGGUCGCAAGACUG
Molecule: ribosomal RNA, 374 nt
Filed under: uncultured organism
Description: partial 16S ribosomal RNA
Rfam family: Bacterial small subunit ribosomal RNA
Source: RNAcentral